RNAcentral lists this ribosomal RNA (253 nucleotides) under uncultured bacterium. RNAcentral's name for it is "partial 16S ribosomal RNA". It matches the Rfam family "Bacterial small subunit ribosomal RNA", at positions 524 to 776 of the family's 1533-position model. The record is from RNAcentral.
UACGUAGGGGGCUAGCGUUGUCCGGAUUUACUGGGCGUAAAGAGCGCGCAGGCGGUCGUUCAAGUCGCGUGUGAAAGCCCCCGGCUCAACUGGGGAGGGUCACGCGAUACUGAUCGACUCGAAGGCAGGAGAGGGUAGUGGAAUUCCCGGUGUAGUGGUGAAAUGCGUAGAUAUCGGGAGGAACACCAGUGGCGAAGGCGACUACCUGGCCUGUUCUUGACGCUGAGGCGCGAAAGCUAGGGGAGCAAACGGG